This 321-nucleotide ribosomal RNA is filed under the name uncultured Pseudodifflugiidae. RNAcentral describes it as "SSU rRNA". The stretch from base 58 to 321 matches the Rfam family "Eukaryotic small subunit ribosomal RNA", at positions 690 to 955 of the family's 1831-position model. The record is from RNAcentral. Lineage: Eukaryota; Endomyxa; Gromiida; Pseudodifflugiidae.
GAUUUCUGGUAUGAAGCCGCUGAUCCGCCUCCUCGGAGUGUGAGUGUUGGUGUGCGUCUGCCAUCUUUGUAAAUACCCCUUCGGGCCUUUACUGGUUCGGAGUUCUGUGUUUGCAUCUUUUACUUUGAAAAAAUUAGAGUGUUUAAAGCAGGCUUUUGCUAUGAAUACAUUAGCAUGGAAUAAUAAUAUAGGACUUCGGUUCUAUUUUGUUGGUUUCUAGUACUGAAGUAAUGAUUGAUAGGGAUAGUUGGGGGUGCUAGUAUUCAGCGGCCAGAGGUGAAAUUCUUGGAUUCGCUGAAGACUAACUUAUGCGAAAGCAUU